This 392-nucleotide ribosomal RNA is filed under the name Terribacillus saccharophilus. RNAcentral's name for it is "bacterial SSU rRNA". It matches the Rfam family "Bacterial small subunit ribosomal RNA", at positions 555 to 946 of the family's 1533-position model. Lineage: Bacteria; Bacillati; Bacillota; Bacilli; Caryophanales; Bacillaceae. The record is from RNAcentral.
UGGGCGUAAGGGCUCGCACGCGGUUUCUUAAGUCUGAUGUGAAAGCCCACAGCUCAACUGUGGAGGGUCAUUGGAAACUGGGGAACUUGAGUGCAGAAGAGAAGAGUGGAAUUCCACGUGUAGCGGUGAAAUGCGUAGAUAUGUGGAGGAACACCAGUGGCGAAGGCGACUCUCUGGUCUGUAACUGACGCUGAGGAGCGAAAGCGUGGGGAGCAAACAGGAUUAGAUACCCUGGUAGUCCACGCCGUAAACGAUGAGUGCUAGGUGUUAGAGGGUUUCCGCCCCUUACUGCUGAAGCUAACGCAUUAAGCACUCCGCCUGGGGAGUACGGACGCAAGACUGAAACUCAAAAGAAUUGACGGGGGCCCGCACAAGCGGUGGAGCAUGUGGUU